GACUCUCGGCAACGGAUAUCUCGGCUCUCGCAUCGAUGAAGAACGUACCGAAAUGCGAUACCUGGUGUGAAUUGCAGAAUCCCGCGAACCAUCGAGUCUUUGAACGCAAGUUGCGCCCGAGGCCUCUUGGCUGAGGGCACGCCUGCCUGGGCGUCACGCCAAAU
RNAcentral lists this ribosomal RNA (164 nucleotides) under Puccinellia andersonii. RNAcentral describes it as "5.8S ribosomal RNA". It matches the Rfam family "5.8S ribosomal RNA". From Rfam's summary of the family: 5.8S ribosomal RNA (5.8S rRNA) is a component of the large subunit of the eukaryotic ribosome. It is transcribed by RNA polymerase I as part of the 45S precursor that also contains 18S and 28S rRNA. Functionally, it is thought that 5.8S rRNA may be involved in ribosome translocation. The record is from RNAcentral. Lineage: Eukaryota; Viridiplantae; Streptophyta; Magnoliopsida; Poales; Poaceae.